Long non-coding RNA from Telopea speciosissima, 176 nucleotides. RefSeq lists it as uncharacterized. Lineage: Eukaryota; Viridiplantae; Streptophyta; Magnoliopsida; Proteales; Proteaceae. The transcript has 2 exons. The record is from RefSeq and is a predicted model, not a curated record.
GUCUACGGAAGUUCUACAUUAAGAGGUUACUAGUAAUGUUGAGAGUGGAACACCUGCUGGAUGAUUAGAUAUACUUUUGAUAACGUUCAUUCUCCAUGAAGUUAGCUAGCGAGGAUCUAUGAGUACGUUCAGGAAUUUUCUCAUACUCGUUCCACCAUUGCAUGAAGGUACUCUCC